GUCAGAAGUGAGACAACAGACAGUUACCGCGUGUCUCGCCAACCUCUGGCUGCCCUCCAUUCAUACGUAACCUUCUUUUCUUUUCUAGCAUUCUCCUUUUCCUUUCUCCUAUUUUCCAUUCAUCAUCGUCAAACUAAUAUUAUCCCUUCACUUCCUUCAGUUUCUCUCUUUCUCCUUCCAACUAAUUUCAGGUAUUCUUUCCUCUUAUCUCCCUUCAAUUUUCUGAUUAAUUUCUCUCUCUGCUUUUGCCUACUUCUCAAAUUCACUCUCUGGUUCUAUACUUCUAAAAGUAUUGCUUAACUAUGUUAACUUUGGAAUAGAGAGUACUUCAUUUCUUUUUUUGAAAAUUUAAAUACCCCUUCAAGUAUAGUCCGCAUAAAGUUUCUGCUUUGAACAAAAUUUUGCGUGUUGGACCACUGUGACAUGGAGCUGCCGGUUCAAAUUAUGAGAUUAGCCUUUUUGCUUAGAGCGUGCACUGUGCCUUUCUUUUGAGCUAUCGUUUCCCUUUACUUUUUUUUUUCUUUUUCUGCGUUAGGUGAACAUGGUUUCAUUUUUGUCAAUCAAGUAAUAUUUCAAGUGAUAGAAUGGAGGCAUUUUGAUGAGAUAGUAAUAAAAAUUCUGCUUGUCAAGCAUUGCACAUGUGCUAUAAUUCUUUGUUUUUGGGGCAACGAAAUGGUUGAAAUUUAGGAAUUUUCAAGCCUCAUUUUACUAAGGGAAAUCUUAUCUGGUAGUGACUUUUCUUGGAGCUAUUAAUAUUUGUUCAUUGGCGAAACAAAUUGUUCUAGCAUAGGAUGAGAUGAUACAAAUAUUCCGGCACAUUGCUGUUGUGAUAAUGAGAGAAAUAUUACGGCAUUGCGUGUGGAAUAGAAUUGAUUGGAGAAAACUACUGUUGGCUAGUGCCAUAACCACAGCGGUUGGAAUUUUGGGUCCAAGUUAUGUAGUUCCUUAUCCAAUGAACACGUGGCUCCUUUCUUCGUCUAUAAUAGUUUCAUCACCCAUAUCCUUGAAUGGUAGUUUGCACUCUAGAGAGAGUGUAACCGAGGCAAAAGUUGAACAAUUUCAUCUUGUUCCAACUGCUCCUAUUCUUUCAGUGAAUUCGACAGUGAUACCAUCCAAGGCAGCUAGAGUAAAAGUCUCUGGAAAGAGAAAUUCUGUAGCCAGAAGGAGAAGAAAGAAGAGUAAGGUAAAUAAUGAUGCAAAGGUUGUACCUCCUGUGCCACCUCGCAUUCCAGCACCGCGUCAGUUGCAGAGAUACAUCUGGUCCUUGUCUCCAAAUGAUGCCCUCUUGUAUGCUAAAAAAGAGAUUGAGCAUGCCCCAGUGGUUAGUGAUGAUCCUUAUCUGUAUGCCCCUAUUUUUCGGAAUAUUUCAGUUUUCAAAAGGAGCUAUGAGUUAAUGGAGCUGAUACUUAAAGUUUACAUCUAUCCUGAUGGGAAAAGGCCCAUCUUUCAUCAACCGCAUCUCCAGGGAAUUUAUGCUUCUGAAGGAUGGUUUAUGAAGUUCAUGGAGGAAAACAGACAGUUUCUCACAAGGGAUCCAGAAAAGGCUCAUUUAUUUUAUCUUCCAUACAGUGCACGCCAGCUGGGGAUGGCACUUUAUGUGCCUAACUCACAUAAUUUGAGACCAUUGUCAAUCUUCAUGAGAGAUUAUGCAAAUAUGCUUGCUGCAAAGUAUCCCUUUUGGAACCGCACACAUGGGAGAGAUCAUUUUCUUGUUGCCUGCCAUGACUGGGGUCCAUACACAUUGACUAUGCACACUGAACUAACAAAAAAUACCAUAAAAGCUCUAUGCAAUGCUGAUGCAUCCGAAGGUAUUUUUGAUACUAGCAAGGAUGUUUCUCUACCUGAAACGACAAUAAAGACUCCUAGGAGACCUCUUAGAAAUGUUGGUGGUGGGAUAAGAGUAUCAGAGCGUCCAAUCCUUGCCUUCUUUGCUGGAAAUAUGCAUGGUAGGGUCCGCCCAAAGCUUCUAGAAUACUGGAAAAAUAAAGAUGAAGACCUGAGAAUUUAUGGGCCUCUACCCAUUAGAAUAUCUCGAAAGAUGAGUUAUGUUCAACACAUGAAAUCCAGUAGAUAUUGUAUAUGCCCAAUGGGCUAUGAAGUGAACAGCCCUCGGAUUGUUGAGGCCAUAUAUUACGAGUGUGUUCCAGUUAUCAUUGCAGAUAAUUUUGUCCUCCCUCUUAGUGAUGUGUUAGAUUGGAGUGCUUUCUCUGUUGUUGUGGCUGAGAAGGAUAUUCCCAAACUGAAAGAGAUUCUGUUGGCUAUCCCAUUGAGAAGAUAUCUUACAAUGCUAACUAAUUUAAAGAUGCUUCAGAAACAUUUUCUUUGGAACCCAAGACCCCUCAGAUAUGAUUUGUUCCACAUGAUUCUGCAUUCCAUCUGGCUUAGUAGGUUGAACCAGAUUCAAAUUCCAGAGUGGUAGUAAAGUCCUUAAAUUUACUAGCAAAACGUGGUUGAUUUUGGAUGAUGAGUUGAAAAGAGCUGAAGCUCGUAGCAGGCUAGUUGGAAUUUUGGACCUGAUACAACCAUCAUUUGUUUCCCUGGAGCUGGUUUGAUGUAUAGACAUUUAAGAAGGGAUAAUCCAUGAUGCAGGUAAGUUGUGAUUUAGUAUCUUUAUUAUCAUCUAGUUACAAUUAUAUGAAAUUUCUUUUGCUGAAUGGCCUGUGACAAUGAUACCUUCAACAUCUUCACUUGCAAUAAAUGGGACCUGGUGCUGCAAAAAAGUACCAAUGAUUGCUGCGAACUUUUCCAGUUUUGUUCAUAUUGUUGUAUUGUCACCAAUCAAAGGACCACGUUAAAUUUGUAGGGUUCCAUUCAUCCAGUGAUGACUCUUUCUAUUGUUGCAAAUCACAGCCACACCGUCUCUGCCUUCACGUUUAGAUUGAGAUUUUAUUUGUCUUCUUGAAUUAUUACAUACAUUUUCUAUUGCAGGGAAAGAGAAAGACAACAAUGUGGUCGACAUAACAACGUACUGCAUUAAAAAACGACUAAUCGACUACGGAAUUUUCCCUAUUUUCUAAAAUAUCUGUAUUAUCAUACUGCAUAUAGAGAGAUCCAAACUCCUGUUUUUCCCUGUUCUUUGGGCAAUGCCUGUCCAUUAAACUCGAGGCUCCCACCUAAGAUAGACUUUUAUUUUUGGUUUAAAAGUACUAGCAAGUUGAAAUGUAGAGACAAACCCUUGUCCUGAACAUAGAUGCGACCCUUUUCUUGUGUACUAUUAUUGCAUUAAAAGUCUUGAUUAACAUUAGGUGAUUAGCCUAAGUCAUCAGGAAAACAAGAAGACCGGUCAAAAACAACAGGUUGGCCUCCGGAUUGAACUCUGAAACAGCUCAAGUCAGCCACAGUUUCAAACUCAAAGUGCAUUGUUAUUGGGUCAUUAGACCGGAUAUCACUGGGUUAUUAUCUGAAGUUUA
RNAcentral lists this unclassified non-coding RNA (3410 nucleotides) under Hevea brasiliensis (rubber tree). Lineage: Eukaryota; Viridiplantae; Streptophyta; Magnoliopsida; Malpighiales; Euphorbiaceae. The record is from RNAcentral.